RNAcentral lists this ribosomal RNA (497 nucleotides) under uncultured bacterium. Its description in RNAcentral is "partial 16S ribosomal RNA". It matches the Rfam family "Bacterial small subunit ribosomal RNA", at positions 28 to 507 of the family's 1533-position model. The record is from RNAcentral.
GAUGAACGCUGGCGGCGUGCCUAAUACAUGCAAGUCGAGCGAACGGACGAGAAGCUUGCUUCUCUGAUGUUAGCGGCGGACGGGUGAGUAACACGUGGAUAACCUACCUAUAAGACUGGGAUAACUUCGGGAAACCGGAGCUAAUACCGGAUAAUAUUUUGAACCGCAUGGUUCAAAAGUGAAAGACGGUCUUGCUGUCACUUAUAGAUGGAUCCGCGCUGCAUUAGCUAGUUGGUAAGGUAACGGCUUACCAAGGCAACGAUGCAUAGCCGACCUGAGAGGGUGAUCGGCCACACUGGAACUGAGACACGGUCCAGACUCCUACGGGAGGCAGCAGUAGGGAAUCUUCCGCAAAGGGCGAAAGCCUGACGGAGCAACGCCGCGUGAGUGAUGAAGGUCUUCGGAUCGUAAAACUCUGUUAUUAGGGAAGAACAUAUGUGUAAGUAACUGUGCACAUCUUGACGGAACCUAAUCAGAAAGCCACGGCUAACUACGUG